GGAGGGUCCCCACCGAGAGCCUCCUGGCGUCUUGCUGUCUCCAUGUCCGGGCCCUAACGCCUGCCCUGCCAGCCCGACUCUGGGACGUGUGGCGUGUGUCAACCACCCCUGGUUUGUUGGAGGCCCCUGCUGAGAGGGACGCACGCCACCCAGAGCCUGUGGUCAGUGUCAGGCUGGUCACACCAGGUCUCCGAGGACUCACCAUGGGGCGCCCAGAAGAUGCUCCCCACCUUUGGCAAAGAGUUCCCAAGUGGCAUGGGGUCUCUGGUGGGUGCCCCAAUACCACCCAGGCCUUCAGGCUUCAGGUGCCCCUGCAGCGGGGCACGUGAAUCAUCAACUUAAAAGACAAAAUCAAAACUAGGAUGGAUUAAGGCCCUUUGUUUAUGUCAUUGGCUGGAAAGAACAAAACUGAAGUAACAUCAAACUAUUUUUGGUGUUCGAGCAUGAAAACACUGCUGACCUAACGCAGCCAGGGCCGGGGCGAGGCAGGGUUUCCGGCCAAAAUUCUAAAAAAUUAUCCAGAUGCUUGAAAUGGGCUCUCCGCACCCAGUCAUGUCUAGUAAACAUCAAAAAGAAUUUAAGAAAACACUUGAAGAUCUGGACAUGGAAGCACAGAACACUGGAAGAAGACGUGGACCUCAGGCGCAGCCCCGAGGACAAGAGCAGAGAAGGGGCCCCAGCACGGAGGCCCGUGUCUGCAGUGGGGGCAGGAGUGGGGUUUCAGGAACAUGGCUUGAACGUGCGGCUAAGCAGGGUUCUGGCACUCUCUUUAGCUUCACCAAGACAAAAAAUACCAUUUACUCCUUCCUUGUCAAGGCUUCAAAUGAGCCAAACAAAUAAUCAAGUAUCUAGAACUCAUAUAAAAUAAAGGACCAAAACUAUAA
Suricata suricatta (meerkat) is the source of this 884-nucleotide long non-coding RNA. RefSeq lists it as uncharacterized. The transcript has 2 exons. The record is from RefSeq and is a predicted model, not a curated record. Lineage: Eukaryota; Metazoa; Chordata; Mammalia; Carnivora; Herpestidae.